UCCCUGGUGGUUCAGAUGGUAAAGAAUUUGUCUGCAAUGCAAGAGACCUGGGUUCAAUUCCCAGGUUGGGAA
Transfer RNA from Ovis aries (sheep), 72 nucleotides. It matches the Rfam family "tRNA". Rfam says of the family: Transfer RNA (tRNA) molecules are approximately 80 nucleotides in length. Their secondary structure includes four short double-helical elements and three loops (D, anti-codon, and T loops). Further hydrogen bonds mediate the characteristic L-shaped molecular structure. tRNAs have two regions of fundamental functional importance: the anti-codon, which is responsible for specific mRNA codon recognition, and the 3' end, to which the tRNAs corresponding amino acid is attached (by aminoacyl-tRNA synthetases). tRNAs cope with the degeneracy of the genetic code in two manners: having more than one tRNA (with a specific anti-codon) for a particular amino acid; and 'wobble' base-pairing, i.e. permitting non-standard base-pairing at the 3rd anti-codon position. NCBI's taxonomy places the organism in Eukaryota, Metazoa, Chordata, Mammalia, Artiodactyla, Bovidae. The record is from Rfam.